GAUGAACGCUGGCGGCGUGCCUAAUACAUGCAAGUCGAGCGAACAGAUAAGGAGCUUGCUCCUUUGAAGUUAGCGGCGGACGGGUGAGUAACACGUGGGUAACCUACCUAUAAGACUGGGAUAACUUCGGGAAACCGGAGCUAAUACCGGAUAACAUUUAGAACCGCAUGGUUCUAAAGUGAAAGAUGGUUUUGCUAUCACUUAUAGAUGGACCCGCGCCGUAUUAGCUAGUUGGUAAGGUAACGGCUUACCAAGGCGACGAUACGUAGCCGACCUGAGAGGGUGAUCGGCCACACUGGAACUGAGACACGGUCCAGACUCCUACGGGAGGCAGCAGUAGGGAAUCUUCGGCAAUGGGCGAAAGCCUGACCGAGCAACGCCGCGUGAAUGAUGAAGGCCUUCGGGUUGUAAAAUUCUGUUAUAAGGGAAGAACGACUUUAGUAGGAAAUGGCUAGAGUGUGACGGUACCUUAUGAGAAAGCCACGGCUAACUACGUGCCAGCCGCCGCGGUAA
This 513-nucleotide ribosomal RNA is filed under the name uncultured bacterium. Its description in RNAcentral is "partial 16S ribosomal RNA". It matches the Rfam family "Bacterial small subunit ribosomal RNA", at positions 28 to 523 of the family's 1533-position model. The record is from RNAcentral.